This 402-nucleotide ribosomal RNA is filed under the name uncultured bacterium. RNAcentral's name for it is "bacterial SSU rRNA". It matches the Rfam family "Bacterial small subunit ribosomal RNA", at positions 377 to 796 of the family's 1533-position model. The record is from RNAcentral.
GAAACCCUGAUGCAGCGAUGCCGCGUGAGCGAUGAAGGUCUUCGGAUUGUAAAGCUCUGUCCUUAGGGAAGAAUAUUGACGGUACCUAAGGAGGAAGCCCCGGCUAACUACGUGCCAGCAGCCGCGGUAAUACGUAGGGGGCGAGCGUUGUCCGGAAUCACUGGGCGUAAAGGGAGCGUAGGCGGCUCUGUAAGUCAGAUGUUAAAGGCAUUGGCUCAACCAAUGUAAGCAUUUGAAACUGCAGGGCUUGAGUACAGGAGAGGAGAGUGGAAUUCCUAGUGUAGCGGUGAAAUGCGUAGAUAUUAGGAGGAACACCAGUGGCGAAGGCGACUCUCUGGACUGUUACUGACGCUGAGGCUCGAAAGCGUGGGGAGCAAACAGGAUUAGAUACCCUGGUAGUCC